RNAcentral lists this ribosomal RNA (398 nucleotides) under uncultured bacterium. Its description in RNAcentral is "bacterial SSU rRNA". It matches the Rfam family "Bacterial small subunit ribosomal RNA", at positions 30 to 429 of the family's 1533-position model. The record is from RNAcentral.
AUUGAACGCUGGCGGCAUGCCUUACACAUGCAAGUCGAACGGCAGCACGGGAGCAAUCCUGGUGGCGAGUGGCGAACGGGUGAGUAAUAUAUCGGAACGUGCCCAGUCGUGGGGAUAACGUAGCGAAAGCUACGCUAAUACCGCAUACGAUCUAUGGAUGAAAGCGGGGGGAUCGCAAGACCUCGCGCGAUUGGAGCGGCCGAUAUCAGAUUAGGUAGUUGGUGAGGUAAAGGCUCACCAAGCCGACGAUCUGUAGCUGGUCUGAGAGGACGACCAGCCACACUGGGACUGAGACACGGCCCAGACUCCUACGGGAGGCAGCAGUGGGGAAUUUUUGGACAAUGGGCGCAAGCCUGAUCCAGCAAUGCCGCGUGCAGGAUGAAGGCCUCGGUUGUAAC